GAUGAACGCUGGCGGCGUGCCUAAUACAUGCAAGUCGAGCGAACAGACGAUGAGCUUGCUCCUUUGACGUUAGCGGCGGACGUGUGAGUAACACGUGUGUAACCUACCUAUAAGACGGGGAUAACUUCGGGAAACCGGAGCUAAUACCGGAUAAGAUUUCGAACCGCAGGGUUCGAUAGUGAAAUAUGGCGCUGCUAUCACGUAUAGAUGGACCUGCGCCGUAUUAUCUAGUUGGUAAGGUAACGGCUUACCAAGGCAAGGAGACGUAGACGACCUGAGAGGCUGGUAGCCCACCCUGGAACUGGGCCACGGUCAAGACUCCUACGGGAGGCAGCAGACGGGAAUCUUCCGCAAUGGGCGAAAGCCUGACGGAGCAGCGCCGCGUGAGUGAUGACGGUCUUCGGAUCGUAAAACUCUGUUAUUAGGGAAGAACAAACGUGUAAGUAACUGUGCACGUCUUGACGGUACCUAAUCAGAAAGCCACGGCUAACUACGUG
RNAcentral lists this ribosomal RNA (497 nucleotides) under uncultured bacterium. RNAcentral describes it as "partial 16S ribosomal RNA". It matches the Rfam family "Bacterial small subunit ribosomal RNA", at positions 28 to 507 of the family's 1533-position model. The record is from RNAcentral.